AGCUGGGAUGAAGCAGGGGCAAAGGGGAAAGAGGCAGGACAAAAGCCUAUGUCUUCCUUAUCACACUGUAAUCUGAAUCUGGUUCCUCCUCCCGAGGCCUCUGAGCAGCUAUCCUGUUGGUGUUAGAAUCAAACACCACCGAGGCAUAGUGAAGUUCUUCCCUGGGGGAGGCCUGCAGAGAGAAACCAAGAAACUGAAGACUUGGGAGAGGCAAGGGAAGAAAGGACCCCCAACAUAGGAUGGAGGAGGGAGGACACCUGAGGGGCUUUGGGGAGGCCUCACUGUAGAGGCUCCACUGUCCUGGCCUCUUUUUCUCUAUGAUCCUGUCCACCCAGCUGCUCCUCCCCAACUGGGCAAGCAGCAGCACAACAUCCCCAGCAUCAGAGGCAGGAGGCUCCGGGGGCUCCUCAGGGCUGACCCAGCCUGGUCCAUUCUACAGGGAAGAAACUGAGGCCCUGAGACCUGGCUGGGCUCCCCCAAGACACCUCUGUGCUUCUCUUAAUGAAAUAUUCUUGAGGCCAGGCACAGUGGCUCACGCCCUUAAUCCCAGCACUUUGGGAGGCCAAGGCGGGUGGAUCACUUGAUGUCAGGAGUUUGAGACCAGCCUGGGUAACAUAGUGAAACCCAGUAUCUACUAAAAAUACAAAAACUAGCUGGGCGUGGUGGUGGACACCUGUAAUCCCAGCUACUUGGGAGGCUGAGGCAGGAGGAUCGCUUGAACCGGGGAGGCGGAGGUUGCAAUGGCCAAGAUUGCACCACUGCUCUCCAGCCUGGCGACAGAGUGGGACUCUGUCUCAAAAAAAAAAAAGAAAAAAAGAAAAGAAAAGAAAAAAAAAGGAAAGUUCUCACAACGAAGCAGCCAUGGAUCCCUUUCUGCAGAGGACCCCUCGUUCUCUAGGUGGAGUUGAAGCCAGUACAGGGGUACUGCGUUGGCCCUGCAGCUCUGAUUAACUUGCUGUACUGUGGGCAUGAGUCCCAACUUGUACCAAGGGGGCUGGGAGAAGAGUAAGACCAUGUGCCAUCCACUUUAAAUCAUGAGACAACAAGUUAGAACAAGGCUGUUGCUGGUCCCAGGCCAUGCAGCUUCGUGGACACAAGAUCAUGUCAUGCAAGGAAGGAGUCAGGCUUGAGUGCAGGGGCGCUCAGAAACUUGGCCAGGAGCUGGCCGGGUGUGGUGGCUCAGUACUGUAAUCCCAGCACUUUGGGAAGUCAGGGCAGGCGGAUCACUUGAGGUCAGGAGUCCGAGACCAGCCUGGCCAACAUGGUGAAGCCCCGUCUCUACUAAAAAUACAAAAAUCAGCCAGUGUAGUGGCAGGUGUCUGUAGUCCCAGCUACUCUGGAGGCUGAGGCAGGAGAAUUGCUUGAACCUGGGAGGCAGAGAUUGCAGUGAGCCAAGACUGUGCCACUGCAUUCCAGCCUGGGGGAUAGAGCGAGAUUCCAAAGAAAGAAAGAAAGAAAGAAAGAAAGAAAGAAAGGAAGGAAGGAAGGAAGGAACUUGGCCAGGAGCCAUCCAGGACCCUGGGCCCCCAGACCACCCUCAUCCUCAUGCAGACAGCUGGCGGGAGGUUGGGGAACGGUGCGGCUAUCAGGGGACCCGGAAGUGGCAGGUCUGGAUCCCCUCUUCUCCUGUCAGGUGCAAAACGGCGGCCUGGGGAGAACGGUACCAGGCUGGAGAUAUCCCAGGGAGUUGGGCCACUUUUCCAGGCAGACCAGCAACAAUGUCCCCUGUCACCCUGGUGCCAGCCCUCCAUGGCACCACACGACUUGUCUGAGGGGCCUCUUCAGCUCCCAGGCCUGGGGGCACUUUAAGCUUCCCUGCUGAUGCUUACAUCCCUCCCGAUCCUCUCUGCCAAGUGACCCCCAGCUUCUGCUUGAACUCUCCCACUAGCAGGUGGGUCACGACCCAGGGAGGCAGCCCCCAUCCCAUCAUCCCAGUUGAAGGUGGCUGCGCCCAAGGGUUGACCCACAGCGGGUCACAGACAAAAACCCGAAAGCAGAAUUGAUGUCAAAGAGAUGAUGAGACCAAAACAGUGAGAAGUCACAGGUUCUCAGCUUGGCUCACGAUACACAGCAGGUGCUUAACCCAUGCUGGACUUCACGGACUGUCAGAGCCAUAGCUGCUGGCCACCCCCAAAAACCCCCCACCACAAUGACACCAAGCCCUCCUAAGGACCUCUGCUCUGGCAAAAUCUACACUUGCUCCAUCUCCAUGUGGCCCUGUCCCUGACAGGCACAAGAUCACCAAGCCGACCCCUUCCUUCCCCUUCUGCCCACCCUCCCAGGGGUGCCCUGGCACAGCCCAGGGGCCGCAUGCCCAAAAGCCGGGCUCCUGCACUUA
This 2338-nucleotide long non-coding RNA is filed under the name Homo sapiens (human). RNAcentral's name for it is "HSALNT0245139". The record is from RNAcentral. Lineage: Eukaryota; Metazoa; Chordata; Mammalia; Primates; Hominidae.